AUUGAACGCUGGCGGUAGGCCUAACACAUGCAAGUCGAACGGCAGCACAGUAAGAGCUUGCUCUUACGGGUGGCGAGUGGCGGACGGGUGAGGAAUACAUCGGCAUCUACUUUUUCGUGGGGGAUAACGUAGGUACUCUUACGCUAAUACCUCAUCCGACCUACGGGUGAAAGCAGGGGAUCUUCGGACCUUGCGCGAUCCAAUGAGCCGAUGUCGGAUUAGCUAGUUGGCGGGGUAAAGGCCCACCAAGGCGACGAUCCGUAGCUGGUCUGAGAGGAUGAUCAGCCACACUGGAACUGAGACACGGUCCAGACUCCUACGGGAGGCAGCAGUGGGGAAUAUUGGACAAUGGGCGCAAGCCUGAUCCAGCCAUACCGCGUGGAUGAAGAAGGCCUUCGGGUUGUAAAGCGCUUUUGUUGGGAAAGAAAAGCAGCAGGUUAAUAAACAGCUGUUAUGACGGUACCGAAAGAAUAAGCACCGGCUAACUUCGUG
RNAcentral lists this ribosomal RNA (492 nucleotides) under uncultured bacterium. RNAcentral's name for it is "partial 16S ribosomal RNA". It matches the Rfam family "Bacterial small subunit ribosomal RNA", at positions 30 to 507 of the family's 1533-position model. The record is from RNAcentral.